Molecule: ribosomal RNA, 505 nt
Filed under: uncultured bacterium
Lineage: Bacteria
Description: partial 16S ribosomal RNA
Rfam family: Bacterial small subunit ribosomal RNA
Source: RNAcentral
GACGAACGCUGGCGGCGUGCCUAAUACAUGCAAGUAGAACGCACAGUUUAUACCGUAGCUUGCUACACCAUAGACUGUGAGUUGCGAACGGGUGAGUAACGCGUAGGUAACCUGCCUGGUAGCGGGGGAUAACUAUUGGAAACGAUAGCUAAUACCGCAUAAUAUUGAUUAUUGCAUGAUAAUUGAUUGAAAGAUGCUAUUGCAUCACUACCAGAUGGACCUGCGUUGUAUUAGCUAGUAGGUGAGGUAACGGCUCACCUAGGCGACGAUACAUAGCCGACCUGAGAGGGUGAUCGGCCACACUGGGACUGAGACACGGCCCAGACUCCUACGGGAGGCAGCAGUAGGGAAUCUUCGGCAAUGGACGAAAGUCUGACCGAGCAACGCCGCGUGAGUGAAGAAGGUUUUCGGAUCGUAAAGCUCUGUUGUAAGAGAGGAACGGGUGUGAGAGUGGAAAGUUCACACUGUGACGGUAUCUUACCAGAAAGGGACGGCUAACUACGUG